This 77-nucleotide transfer RNA is filed under the name Vulcanisaeta sp. OSP_8. RNAcentral describes it as "tRNA-Arg". It matches the Rfam family "tRNA". From Rfam's summary of the family: Transfer RNA (tRNA) molecules are approximately 80 nucleotides in length. Their secondary structure includes four short double-helical elements and three loops (D, anti-codon, and T loops). Further hydrogen bonds mediate the characteristic L-shaped molecular structure. tRNAs have two regions of fundamental functional importance: the anti-codon, which is responsible for specific mRNA codon recognition, and the 3' end, to which the tRNAs corresponding amino acid is attached (by aminoacyl-tRNA synthetases). tRNAs cope with the degeneracy of the genetic code in two manners: having more than one tRNA (with a specific anti-codon) for a particular amino acid; and 'wobble' base-pairing, i.e. permitting non-standard base-pairing at the 3rd anti-codon position. The record is from RNAcentral. Lineage: Archaea; Thermoproteati; Thermoproteota; Thermoprotei; Thermoproteales; Thermoproteaceae.
GGGCCCGUAGCUUAGCCAGGUAGAGCGCCCUGGGGCGAACCGGGAGGUCCCGGGUUCGAAUCCCGGCGGGCCCACCA